Molecule: ribosomal RNA, 253 nt
Filed under: uncultured bacterium
Lineage: Bacteria
Description: partial 16S ribosomal RNA
Rfam family: Bacterial small subunit ribosomal RNA
Source: RNAcentral
UACGUAGGGUGCGAGCGUUAAUCGGAAUUACUGGGCGUAAAGCGUGCGCAGGCGGUUUUGUAAGCCAGAUGUGAAAUCCCCGGGCUUAACCUGGGAAUGGCAUUUGGGACUGCAAGGCUCGAGUGCGGCAGAGGAGACUGGAAUUCCUGGUGUAGCAGUGAAAUGCGUAGAUAUCAGGAGGAACACCGAUGGCGAAGGCAGGUCUCUGGGCUGACACUGACGCUCAUGCACGAAAGCCAGGGGAGCAAACGGG